UUCCUAAAUUGCUAUUAACUCACAAUUUAUUCUUGGGUUUGAAAAUUGUGAGUUCUACAUCAAGAGAUGGCCACAGUUGGAUGGCAUGCAAUUUGAGGAUGUCUUAAUUAGUUUUCCUGAUGCCAUUCCUUGUGGAGUCAAGGUUGCAUCAUAUGGUGGUAAAACUGUUCUUAAUCCAGAGGAUUCCUAUGUCCUACAACUACAAGAAGGCGAUAAAGUUCUUGUUAUAGCUGAGGAUGAUGACACCUAUUCUCCAGCAGCACUGCCUACGAAGGGGGAGAUAGGAAAUGCAACUUACUUUUUACAAGCAUAUUUACUCCAAAAUGCCAAGGGGGGAGGGUGAUAAUAUUCUUAAUUGGCAGUUGACUCGGAAUGGUGUUUUUGAUUUGGUGUCACCGCAUUUUUCCUAUCCAAGAAACUUGCAGUUUGAAUGAGAAGGAACUGCAAACAGUUUUAUCAAAGCUUGUUUUUUCAUGAAUGAUAAACAGCACAAAGUUUCACAUCCUGUAAAG
Quercus robur (English oak) is the source of this 512-nucleotide long non-coding RNA. RefSeq lists it as uncharacterized. The record is from RefSeq and is a predicted model, not a curated record. The transcript is spliced from 3 exons. Lineage: Eukaryota; Viridiplantae; Streptophyta; Magnoliopsida; Fagales; Fagaceae.